Molecule: RNA transcript, 592 nt
Organism: Equus caballus (horse)
Lineage: Eukaryota; Metazoa; Chordata; Mammalia; Perissodactyla; Equidae
Gene: ARFRP1
Gene name: ADP ribosylation factor related protein 1
Source: RefSeq, a predicted model, not a curated record
CCUGGCGCGGGGGCCGCCGGGACGGCUCCGCCCCUUUCCGGACUCCUGGGCCCGCGACCCGUCGGGCGCAGCGCGGGGUCAGCGGGUCAGCGCGGGUCCGCGGGGUCAGGCUCGGCGGCCCGCGGGCGCAGGAUGUACACGCUGCUGUCGGGCCUGUACAAGUACAUGUUUCAGAAGGACGAGUACUGCAUCCUCAUCCUGGGUCUGGACAAUGCCGGGAAGACGACCUUCCUGGAGCAGUCAAAAACCCGGUUUAACAAGAACUAUAAGGGCAUGAGUCUAUCCAAAAUCACCACCACCGUGGGUCUAAACAUUGGCACUGUCGAUGUGGGAAAGUCUCGCCUCCUGUUCUGGGACUUAGGGGGGCAGGAGGAGCUGCAGUCUCUGUGGGACAAGUACUACGCAGAGUGCCAUGGUGUCAUCUAUGUCAUCGACUCCACUGACGAGGAGAGACUCUCGGAGUCCAAGCAAGCAUUCGAUGGUCACGAGUGAGGCCCUGGACGGUGUGCCCAUCCUGGUGCUGGCCAACAAGCAGGACAUUGAGACUUGUCUCUCGAUCCCUGACAUCAAGACAGCAUUCAGCGACUGCACC